ACGCUCGACACCUACGGGAAGCAGCAGUCGGGAAUAUUGCGCAAUGGAGGAAACUCUGACGCAGUGACGCCGCGUGCAGGAAGAAGGUUUUCGGAUUGUAAACUGCUUUAGACAGGGAAGAAAGAAAUGACAGUACCUGUGGAAUAAGCUCCGGCUAACUACGUGCCAGCAGCCACGGUAAUCUGAGCGGGCUGGCAAGGC
Molecule: ribosomal RNA, 201 nt
Filed under: uncultured bacterium
Lineage: Bacteria
Description: partial 16S ribosomal RNA
Rfam family: Bacterial small subunit ribosomal RNA
Source: RNAcentral